CCACAUCACAUUGGAACAUCAGUUCCCAUAUGAUCACCUAAGUUAAGCAAUGUUGAGCCUGGUCACUACUUAGAUAGGUGACCGCUUGGGAAUACCAGGUGUUGUAAG
Acanthosepion pharaonis is the source of this 108-nucleotide non-coding RNA. NCBI's taxonomy places the organism in Eukaryota, Metazoa, Mollusca, Cephalopoda, Sepiida, Sepiidae. The record is from the annotation of a GenBank genome assembly.